UACGGGGGGGGCAAGCGUUGUUCGGAAUUACUGGGCGUAAAGGGCUCGUAGGCGGCCAACUAAGUCAGACGUGAAAUCCCUCGGCUUAACCGGGGAACUGCGUUUGAUACUGGAUGGCUUGAGUCCGGGAGAGGGAUGCGGAAUUCCAGGUGUAGCGGUGAAAUGCGUAGAUAUCUGGAGGAACACCGGUGGCGAAGGCGGCAUCCUGGACCGGCACUGACGCUGAGGAGCGAAAGCCAGGGGAGCAAACGGG
This 253-nucleotide ribosomal RNA is filed under the name uncultured bacterium. RNAcentral describes it as "partial 16S ribosomal RNA". It matches the Rfam family "Bacterial small subunit ribosomal RNA", at positions 524 to 776 of the family's 1533-position model. The record is from RNAcentral.